ACCCGCUGAACUUAAGCAUAUCACUAAGCGGAGGAAAAGAAAUUAACAAAGAUUACCUUAGUAACGGCGAGUGAAUCGGUAAAAGCUCAAAAUGGAAAUCUGCAACUUUCAGUUGCCGAGUUGUAUCCUAAAGAGGUGAAUCAAUCUAUUGGGGUCUGGAACAAGUUAUUAGGAAUUUUACGCCAUAGAGGGUGACAGCCCCGUACAUGUCCAGUCCUCAUUGGGAGAUGAUCCUUCAGAGAGUCGGGUUGCUUAGAAUCGCAGCCCAAAAUGGGAGAUAGGCUUCUCCUAAGGCUAAAUAUUGAUGGGAGACCGAUAGCGAACAAGUACUGUGAAGGAAAGAUGAAAAGAACUUUGAAAAAAGAGUUAAUAGAUUUGAAGUCGUUGAGAAGGAAGCGGUAAAAAUAAAUUAUUUGAGGGUGACGUGUUAGUCACUGUGGUUACUUUGGGGAUCGUAAUUCGUCAAAGGUUGCGGUUUUUGAUAGUGGCUAUCUAGGCUAACAUUUCAUCUUUGAAAGGCAAUAUGUAGUUGAGGAUGCCAGAAUCACCUUGUGAAGAGUUCUAUGCCUCGGUAUGGAGAUUCGCAGGGAAAAUGGUGUACCAACUAGAGGGCGUCAUAUCUCGUAAGAGUUUGAUGAUAUUGCCAAAAUGGUUUUUACUGACCCGUCUUGAAACACGGACCAAGGAGUCUAACAUAUAUGCGAGUAUGCUAGUGUAGAAACUGAUAUGCAUAAUGAAAGUAAGUAUGAUGUGAUGGAGAAAUCCUGCAACAUCCAUCGACCAUGAUCUUUUGAGAAAGGUUUGAGUAGGAGCAUAUCUGUUAGGACCCGAAAGAUGGUGAACUAUGCUUGUGGAGGGUGAAGCCAGGGGAAACUCUGGUGGAGGCUCGUAGCGAUACUGACGUGCAAAUCGUUCGUCACACAUGAGUAUAGGGGCGAAAGACUAAUCGAACCAUCUAGUAGCUGGUUCCCUCCGAAGUUUCCCUCAGGAUAGCUGGGACAAAUUAACGCAGUUUUAUCAGGUAAAGCGAAUGAUUAGAGGCCUCAGAGGUGAAACACCUUUGACCUAUUCUCAAACUUUAAAUUGGUAAGAUCCGUAGGUUUCCUUAACUUUGUUUGAACCUUCGGGUAGAAUGCAUGUCCUUAGUGGGCCAUUUUUGGUAAGCAGAACUGGCGAUGAGGGAUGAACCUAACGCAAGGUUAAAGUGCCCAAGUAUACGCUCAUCAGACACCAGAAAAGGUGUUGAUUCAUAUAAACAGCAGGACAGUGGUCAUGGAAGUCGAAAUCUGCUAAGGAGUGUGUAACAACUCACCUGCCGAAUGAAUUAGCCCUGAAAAUGGAUGGCGCUUAAGCGUAUCACUGAUACCUUGCCACUAUCAUAAAGUUUCCAAUGAUAGUGAGUAGGAGGGCGUGGAUAUCAUGUAGAAGCUUCUGAUGUGAAUCUGAGUUGAAUGGUAUCUAGUGCGGAUCUUGGUGGUAGUAGCAAAUAUUCAAAUGAGAACUUUGAAGACUGAAGUGGAGAAGGUUUCCAUGAGAACAGCAAUUGGUCAUGGGUGAUUCGGUCCUAAGGUAUUGGGAAAUUCCUUGACAAUGUGCAUUAGCAUGCUGCCGAAAGGGAAUGAGGUUAAUAUUCCUCAAACUGCACGUGGAUAUUGUAUGGUAACAUAAGCGAGCUCAGAGACGCCAGCAUGGAUCCCUGGAAGAGUUCUCUUUUCUUUUUAACAUACCAUGGCCUUGAAAUCAGAUUAUCUGGAGAUAAGGCUAUAUGUAUGGUAAAGCAUCUCACCAUUUGAGAUGUCAGGUGCAUUCAUGAUGGUCCCUGAAAAUCUGAGUAAGAGAUUUAUUCUCACUGCAGGCCGUACCCCAAACCGCAUCAGGUCUCCAAGGUU
Molecule: ribosomal RNA, 1889 nt
Filed under: Protocruzia granulosa
Lineage: Eukaryota; Ciliophora; Spirotrichea
Description: eukaryotic LSU rRNA
Rfam family: Eukaryotic large subunit ribosomal RNA
Source: RNAcentral